Delphinapterus leucas (beluga whale) is the source of this 3472-nucleotide long non-coding RNA. RefSeq lists it as uncharacterized. The record is from RefSeq and is a predicted model, not a curated record. NCBI's taxonomy places the organism in Eukaryota, Metazoa, Chordata, Mammalia, Artiodactyla, Monodontidae.
CCUGUUCUCUGAACAUGAGGGCAGCAGCCCGGCUUACAGCAUGGAGAGAAGAAACAGCACUGGGCCCUGGCAUCCCCAGAGGUGUGAAUGUCCCCUUUGACCAGACAUGGGUAUCUGAUCUCUGCCCACAAAAGUCACAAGACGAAGAGGCUGCGCAGUGAACCGCCCAAGACAUGUGCUCUGCAGGUAGGAUGUCCACCUGGCAUCUUUCCCUGGUUUUAGCCGAUGGUGGUAUCCACAGCAGGAAGUUGGCCUGGAUCCUUUUCUAUAUUCCAUUCCUUAUAAGGUAAUUCCACCCCUGCUACUGCCCUCCCCACCUGAAAGCUACAGAUGCUCACACAGGCUCCUCCUCUUAACCCUGCCCUGCAGAAGCUGAUGAAGCCUUCGCCCUGGGGCGGGAACAAAGCAAUGAGUUUAAACAGAACUCAAGCUACUGCUGGCAAGAAUAUAAAUAAAUAUUUAGAUGGAGGUGUGUGUGUGUGUGUGCGUGUGCGUGUGUGUGUGUGUGUGUGUUUGGGGGGGGCGGUUGCUGAAAACCAUCAGCAGUCAGCACCCUUCCGGGGGUGCCUUUUAGUCUUUCUCAUAGGGUUCUGCUAUCACGAAACAGUUUAUCAUUGAAUCUGGGUUUCGCAAGAUGAAAAGGUCGAGGCCCCGUCCUCCAAAACAAAACAAGAGAACUGAACAAAAUGGGCCUCCCUCCUAUUCCCAGAGUUAUGACAGGCGGCGGCAGAAGCAGAGAACUACCUGUCCCUGGAAACUGCCUGACUGGCACGAAAACGCGGGCACUGGCCUGGGCCGCUUUGGGACAGCCGGGUCUCCGCUCCUCGCCUACCGGGGAGGUUCGGCCCGGGGAAGUCCCGCCCGGAGACAUCCGCCCUCCAGACUGACCAGUGGAGCGGCCAGUCCCGGGGGCGGGGGCCGGGCGGCGGAGAUGAGUCACGGCGGCCUUGGCACAGCGCUGGCCCUUCUCGACCGGUCCAGGGGCGUGCACCGGGCGGGGCUGGAGCCUGGCCCAGCUUGGCCCGGAGAGGAAGGGCCAGGCCUGGGCAGCUCGGCUCUGGCCGGUGCAGCCCGACAAUGACCCCGGGGUCAGGCCGGGCCCGGGACCCGCGGGGAGGGGAGCGAUGCCGGCCCACCACCCUCGCCCCGCGCGUCUGCCCGCCAGAGGCCCAAGGCCGGCUGUUACCUGCUGCCGCCGCUGCUCCGUGCGGGACCGGGGACGUUCGAGGCCAGCCGCGCCUCCCGGGCGCACCCUCUUACCGCGUCGGAAUCCGGGGAGGUGCGGUCGGCGCAGGGACCCGGGGCGCGCGGGGAACUGCGGACGGCGGAUUGGCGGACAAUGCGGCCCGCGCAGAACCGCGCUGCGCAAGUGGGGCCGGACGGCGCGCGCGUGGCCGAGUGUGUUAUGUGUGCGCCUGUCAGUCAACGCUGACAGACCGCAGCCCAUUGGUCAGACCCCGCCCGCGUCACCGCCCACUGCCACUGCCCAUUGGGCGGUUUGAACACAAAGGCUCCGGCUCGCCCCGCCCGCCGCGUGGGCCAAACGGGCGGGGCAAGGCCAGACAAGAAUCGCGCGUGGGAGGUGCGAGUGACUGGGUAACCCCUGGGCGCUGGUGGACUCGGAUGGAGCCGGCAAGCGGGGGCUCGACCUGGCCUGACUUCGCACUUGACUCCCGGUCUGGUUGCUCAAAACACUUGAGCCCUGUCCUGGUACUGCCUCAUGCGCCUCACCCCACCCGCGGCCUUCUGGGGCCCAGCUCUCGGCAAGAUGACGCGACAGGGCCGGGGUGCCAGGACCUUAAAGGUAUUGAAGAUGGCACGAGGAAGUGGGGAGCAGGGGAGAUUGACAACCCCUGGCCUAAGACCCACCUGGAGGGGUAGCGUGUAGUUAGCCCUUAGAGGACCUCCCCAAAACGAUUGUUGGAAUCUCUUGCGUAACUGUUUUCUUAGGCAUUUCUACACUUUUGUUUUUUUUUACAGAUCAGGAAACAGGUUCAUAGAGUUUUUAAGUGAUUUGCUUAGUCACACAGCUUCAACGAGGCAAAACUGAGAUUAGAAGCUUCUCUCCAUAUCCAAGCCCCCCCCCUUUUUUUUUUCCAUUUUGGGAUUGAUUUUGGGAUUCCAGACUUGGCAGGAAGCUCUGCCACUUCUCAGUCUGCCCUCAGAGGCCCCCAAAUUUCAUGGCAGAAGCUUUUCUUCAUUUGAAGGAGGAUGCUUGCCCCAGUUGGUGCUGAGAAGGCAAGGCUGGUUACCUGUUCCUCUGCUUUACUCAAAUCUGAGUGUGGAAAGAGUACUUGAUAGAUACGGAAUGAAUACCAUGCUGCCUGACUUCAAGGGUCCUGUGCUCCCCCCUGGCUCCCCACUGGCCAACUCUACAGAUGCAGAAAGUGCCCAGCUUGGGAGGAGUCACUUCCUGGCAAGCUCUUCUAAGGGAAGAUGAAACUGUUGUUACUUCACUUUUAAAGUGCCAAGAGGAAGAGACGAGAAAUAAUGAAAUCAGGACAGGAAGAUGCUGGGGGUAGGGGAUUGAGGAAAUGUGAAGCCCCUUGUGCUAAGUCGACUCCAUACAAAGAUGACCCCCUGAUCCCUGGGUCUCCACUGCCCCACCCGGAAAAGAGGGGCCUCACCUGCAGUUACAAUCUAUUGAAGACAACAGUACUUGCCUCUGGGGUUAGGCUUUGAGCCCCCUGAAGACAAGGGCUGGCUCAUGUCUGAGUAUCUGCUGAACAUGGGAUGAGUGAAGUGAGAAUUGAAAUCAGAUUUAGAGUCAGCCUCCAGGUAAGGGAGGGGCCUUCUCUUGACACCUUCUCCACCCCAAGGAGCUUAAUGCCUCAGUUCUGUCCUAGCCAAUUCCAGUGGAGUCUCCAUAUCCCGCCACCUCCGUUGCAGAGCCUGCUUCACUCCUUUCCAAGGAUCCUGGCAGAAGGACCCCCUUCCCAGGAUGUGCUGGUUUGUAAAGCAAGAGGCCAUGUGCCUUCCACUGGUCUCAGGCAAGGGCCAUGGCCACAGGCUGGCUAGAGGCAGCCCUCUACUAAACUGUGUUGCCUCUGUGGGCCUGUAGUAGGUAAAUAAUGGGCCCCAAAGAUAUUAGGUCCUAAUUCUUGGAACCUGUGAAUGUUACCAUACAUGGAAAGUCUUUGCAGAUGCGAUUAAAGGAAGGAUUUUGAGAUGGGGAGAUUAUCCUGGAUUAUCAGAGUGGGCUCUAAAUGUAAUCACCAGUGUCCUUUUAAGAGAAAGGCAGAGGAGAAGAGGAGGGGGCAAUGUGACCACAGAAACAAAUUGGAGUGUGCGGCCACGAGACAAGGAAUGCUGGCAGCCACUGGAAGCUGGGAGAAGCCAGGGACGGAGUGUCUCCUAGAGUCUCCAGAGGGAGCAAGGCCCUGCCAACACCUUGACUUUCGUCCAGUGAUUUUGGUUUUGGACUUCUGGUCUUCUCAACUAUGAGAGAAUAAAUCUCUGUUGUUUUAAGUCA